Molecule: long non-coding RNA, 1633 nt
Organism: Pseudopipra pipra
Lineage: Eukaryota; Metazoa; Chordata; Aves; Passeriformes; Pipridae
Exons: 2
Source: RefSeq, a predicted model, not a curated record
AGUACACCUCAUUCGAUUUUUCCAGUCACUUUGCUUUUCAAUUUAGUAUACAAAUUCUAGUCAUUAAACCUGCCAGUUUCUCAUAGUUUGUGCUUUGCACUGUAUAAAUAAUAGAAAUGUGGGUUUUUAAAAAAAAUUUGGAAAAUUAUUUUUAAGAAUAUUUAUUAAUGUCUGCCAUUAAGCAUCAGGCUUCAGUUGAAAUGGGUACUUGAAAUAAUAAACCCUUUGUCUUAGAUUUUCUUGUGUGUAUAGAAUUCUAAUGAUUAAUAGUUAAUAGCUUUAGAAUUACAACUUUGUCUUCAUUAAUUAUUUAUUCCUACAUGAAUUUGAUUGGUAAUAGACAAUGUUUUAUACUUCUUACUGUCCCAUUUUUAAUAAAUAUCACCACCAAAUGAUGGAGUUUUGCUGAUUUUUGACAACUUAAUGAAAUUGGUACUUUUCUUUAGGGAGACCAUACUCAUAAUUUUUUAGAACAUGAGUAUUUCGAACUGGAGCUUUCACUGUCCCAGGCAGGGGAGGAAAAGAUACUUUGAAGCAAGAAAAAAUUUAGACCUUGGCUAAACAUCCUUUUUCUGAAAAUCUUUGCUGCCAGCUUUUGUUCUUGUCUCCUAUCAUAGGCAUUGAAUUUGGAAUCACAAUUCUGAGAUCUCAGAAAUAUCAGUUUUCUGAGAUCUCUCACUGUUGAAAAUGUAGUUAUGACUAGGAAUUAGUGCACAGAACUUGCUUCCAGCUUUAACCAGUUAAGACUCCCCUAUUAUGCUGUCCUUGGAGACUCCUCUUUACUUCAGUUAUUCAAGUCCUUAAAUACCUUGAAUACUUCUCCAACAAAAAGUAAUUCAAUGCCAGAUACUUGUAAUAGAACAAAUGCUAUAAGAGAUUACCUUACUCAGAAAAGGACAACCUUUUCUUUGUAACUCUGUUCAGAAAUGUCCAUUAGUUUUCUUCUCUUUAACCAUGUUAGCAUAAAAAAAAACUGGUUUACAUACUUGUACAUAAAAGAGUUGAUUUUGUGAAUCUUCUAUAAGUCAUGUAUACAAAGUAGUUUAGGCUCUCUCACUAUGUGAAAUCAGAGUGAAACUUCUCUUUACAAGUUUUCAGUGAACAAAAACUGUUUCAAACCUGUGUAGUUUUCUGAAAAAUAUAAAAGCAGCUGUUUGUUUGUAGCUGUUUGGAAGCCAUAUACGAGAGUGAUAAAGCCCUGAAAAAAUUUCCUCUUUAUUAGGCACCAUAAGAAUCACAGUUGUUCUAAAAGUACAAGUACUUUUUAAUAUCUUGCACUAUUUUUUAAGAAGCUUAAGGAAUCUAUUUUGUCCUUGAAAGAUUAUUCUUUCUCUGGUUUUCACUACACAUUGGGAUUUAAAUGAAUUCUGUGUAAAAACAGGAGGACUAUUACAGUUCUUUGCAGGCUCAUGGCCUGACAGAUGUCUUGAAAUUCACACUAGAAUACAGAAGAAAGUUGAAAUAACCUAUUUUAAAGACACAACUACAUUUGGGAAAUGACAGUGUAUAAUACUGUUUAUCAGGAACUUUGACAUGUGUGUAUUUGAGACAACUAUUUUGCAGCAAGAAUAUCAAUGUAAUACUUAAAUAUAUAAUAAUAUAAUAAAAUAAAUCCACUGUCUUCUUGAAAGUC